CCUACGGGUGACAGCAGUGAGGAAUAUUGGUCAAUGGACGAGAGUCUGAACCAGCCAAGUAGCGUGAAGGAUGACUGCCCUAUGGGUUGUAAACUUCUUUUAUAUGGGAAUAAAAUGUUGCACGUGUGGGGUUUUGUAUGUACCAUAUGAAUAAGGAUCGGCUAACUCCGUGCCAGCAGCCGCGGUAAUACGGAGGGUCCGAGCGUUGUCCGGAUUUAUUGGGUUUAAAGGGAGCGUAGGUGGGUUGUUAAGUCAGAUGUGAAAGUUUGCGGCUUAACCGUAAAAUUGCAGUUGAAACUGGCAGUCUUGAGUACAGUAGAGGUAGGCGGAAUUCGUGGUGUAGCGGUGGAAUGCUUAGAUAUCACGAAGAACUCCGAUGGCGAAGGCAGCUCUCUGGACUGCAACUGACACUGAGGCUCGAAAGUGUGGGUAUCAAACAGGAUUAGAUACCCUUGUAGUC
Molecule: ribosomal RNA, 460 nt
Filed under: uncultured bacterium
Lineage: Bacteria
Description: partial 16S ribosomal RNA
Rfam family: Bacterial small subunit ribosomal RNA
Source: RNAcentral